Gopherus flavomarginatus (Mexican gopher tortoise) is the source of this 496-nucleotide long non-coding RNA. RefSeq lists it as uncharacterized. The transcript is spliced from 4 exons. The record is from RefSeq and is a predicted model, not a curated record. NCBI's taxonomy places the organism in Eukaryota, Metazoa, Chordata, Testudines, Testudinidae.
CGGCCACCCCCAGAGCCCUGGCAAACUCACUGCAGCCUUGGCCUGGGGAAGGAAAAGGACGUGUGGGGGAUGGUUUCACCUCCCUCCAGCCCGGGGAGGGGGGGUCAAAUUCAGCCAGAGCGACUGGGGUGGGGGUCAGUGGGUUCUCUCCAGCCCAGAGGUCGCUCAGGAGGUACCAGGGAAUGGGGGGGAUCAGUGGGUCCCCUCCAGCCAGAGGUCGCUCAGGAGGUCCUGGGGGGAGCAUCAGUGGGUGCCCUCCAGCCCAGAAGUCGCUGAGGAGGUACCAGGGGAUGGGGAGGAUCAGUGGGUCCCCUCCGGCCAGAGGUCGCUCAGGAGGUCCCAGGGGGCGGGGGGGUUGGUUGGUCCCCUUUGGCCAGAGGUUGCUCAGGAGGUCCCAGGGGGUGGGGGGGGUCGGUGGGUCCCCUCCGGCCCAGAGGUUGCUCAGGAGGUCCCAGGGGGCGGGGGCCCAUCUGCCCCCUUCUGACACUCCCUCCUC